UCUUUGUAUUGGGUAGUUGCGCCAAUUUUCGCAAGAAUUUUGGUGAGGAAAGUCCGAACACAGAGCCUUUUAAUAGGCAAGAGUAGUGGGUAAUUCCCACCUAGCGCAAGCUACGAGGUGCGAACAGAGACGAGUCUUUCGAUGUUAAAGUCGAAGGGGUGAAACGGCAAAAUCCUUAUUUCUGUGCAAGAUCGUGUUCCUAGCGCAAGCGAGGAAAGAAUCGCUAGAGGUUGUGAGUAAUCACAGUCCCAGACAAAUAACUGCCCGUCCCAAUGUAAAGUUGGUUCGACAGAAUUCGGCUUAUAGAUAUAAAGAGACG
Molecule: RNase P RNA, 319 nt
Filed under: Candidatus Tayloriibacteriota bacterium
Lineage: Bacteria; Candidatus Tayloriibacteriota
Description: RNase P RNA component class A
Rfam family: Bacterial RNase P class A
About the family: Ribonuclease P (RNase P) is a ubiquitous endoribonuclease, found in archaea, bacteria and eukarya as well as chloroplasts and mitochondria. Its best characterised activity is the generation of mature 5'-ends of tRNAs by cleaving the 5'-leader elements of precursor-tRNAs. Cellular RNase Ps are ribonucleoproteins.
Source: RNAcentral